CCACACGGGUUUUAUAACAACACAAUCACAUUUAAUACCAAUAAACUGUGACACCAGAUUACUCGUCUAACU
This is a non-coding RNA of Pangasianodon gigas (Mekong giant catfish), 72 nucleotides long. Lineage: Eukaryota; Metazoa; Chordata; Actinopteri; Siluriformes; Pangasiidae. The record is from the annotation of a GenBank genome assembly.